This 275-nucleotide ribosomal RNA is filed under the name uncultured bacterium. RNAcentral describes it as "partial 16S ribosomal RNA". It matches the Rfam family "Bacterial small subunit ribosomal RNA", at positions 338 to 605 of the family's 1533-position model. The record is from RNAcentral.
CCUACGGGGGGCUGCAGUAGGGAAUCUUCCGCAAUGGACGAAAGUCUGACGGAGCAACGCCGCGUGAGUGAUGAAGGUUUUCGGAUCGUAAAGCUCUGUUGUUAGGGAAGAACAAGUGCAAGAGUAACUGCUUGCACCUUGACGGUACCUAACCAGAAAGCCACGGCUAACUACGUGCCAGCAGCCGCGGUAAUACGUAGGUGGCAAGCGUUGUCCGGAAUUAUUGGGCGUAAAGGGCUCGCAGGCGGUUUCUUAAGUCUGAUGUGAAAGCCCCC